Molecule: ribosomal RNA, 551 nt
Filed under: uncultured bacterium
Lineage: Bacteria
Description: partial 16S ribosomal RNA
Rfam family: Bacterial small subunit ribosomal RNA
Source: RNAcentral
UGGGGAAUUUUGGACAAUGGGCGCAAGCCUGAUCCAGCCAUGCCGCGUGCGGGAAGAAGGCCUUCGGGUUGUAAACCGCUUUUGUCAGGGAAGAAAUCUUCUGAGUUAAUACCUCGGGAGGGUGACGGUACCUGAAGAAUAAGCACCGGCUAACUACGUGCCAGCAGCCGCGGUAAUACGUAGGGUGCAAGCGUUAAUCGGAAUUACUGGGCGUAAAGCGUGCGCAGGCGGUUUUGUAAGACAGAGGUGAAAUCCCCGGGCUCAACCUGGGAACUGCCUUUGUGACUGCAAGGCUUGAGUGCGGCAGAGGGGGAUGGAAUUCCGCGUGUAGCAGUGAAAUGCGUAGAUAUGCGGAGGAACACCGAUGGCGAAGGCAAUCCCCUGGGCCUGCACUGACGCUCAUGCACGAAAGCGUGGGGAGCAAAACAGGAUUAGAUAGCCCUGGUAGUCCACGCCCUAAAACGAUGUCAACUGGUUGUUGGGAAGGUUCCUUCUCGGUAACGUAGCUAACGCGUGAAGUUGACCGCCUGGGGGAGUACGGCCGCAAGGUU